AUGAACGCUGGCGGCGUGCCUAAUACAUGCAAGUCGAGCGAACAGACGAGGAGCUUGCUCCUCUGACGUUAGCGGCGGACGGGUGAGUAACACGUGGAUAACCGACCUAUAAGACUGGGAUAACUUCGGGAAACCGGAGCUAAUACCGGAUAAUAUAUUGAACCGCAUGGUUCAAUAGUGAAAGACGGUUUUGCUGUCACUUAUAGAUGGAUCCGCGCCGCAUUAGCUAGUUGGUAAGGUAACGGCUUACCAAGGCAACGAUGCGUAGCCGACCUGAGAGGGUGAUUGGCCACACUGGAACUGAGACACGGUCCAGACUCCUACGGGAGGCAGCAGGAGGGAAUCUUGCGCAAUGGGCGAAAGCCUGACGGAGCAACGCCGCGUGCGUGAUGAAGGUCUCCGGAUCGUAAAACUCUGUUAUUAGGGAAGAACAAAUGUGUAAGUAACUAUGCACGUCUUGACGGUACCUAAUCAGAAAGCCACGGCUAACUACGUG
Molecule: ribosomal RNA, 496 nt
Filed under: uncultured bacterium
Lineage: Bacteria
Description: partial 16S ribosomal RNA
Rfam family: Bacterial small subunit ribosomal RNA
Source: RNAcentral